AGCGGGUACCUGACUAAGAAGCACCGGCUAAAUACGUGCCAGCAGCCGCGGUAAUACGUAUGGUGCAAGCGUUAUCCGGAUUUACUGGGUGUAAAGGGAGCGCAGGCGGUCCUGCAAGCCAGAGGUGAAAACCCGGGGCUCAACCCCGUGAUUGCCUUUGGAACUGUAGGACUUGAGUACUGGAGGGGCAGGCGGAAUUCCUGGUGUAGCGGUGAAAUGCGUAGAUAUCAGGAGGAACACCGGUGGCGAAGGCGGCCUGCUGGACAGAAACUGACGCUGAGGCUCGAAAGCGUGGGGAGCAAACAGGAUUAGAUACCCUG
This 320-nucleotide ribosomal RNA is filed under the name uncultured bacterium. RNAcentral describes it as "bacterial SSU rRNA". It matches the Rfam family "Bacterial small subunit ribosomal RNA", at positions 470 to 789 of the family's 1533-position model. The record is from RNAcentral.